RNAcentral lists this long non-coding RNA (2088 nucleotides) under Marmota monax (woodchuck). Lineage: Eukaryota; Metazoa; Chordata; Mammalia; Rodentia; Sciuridae. The record is from RNAcentral.
CUUUCUGUAACUGCCUUGGAUCCGCUGGAGAAUACAGUCAAGAAUCUGGAAAUCUAUGGGCGACAUGGGGAAGAACACAAACUUGGAUUUUGGAGUUAGACCUUGGGCUGAUUUCUGGAUCUGCUAUUGAUUAUGAAGUUAGCCAUGGGACUUACCCCACUCUCGUCUCAUUGAUCUCAUCUAUACACUUGCGUGUGUGUUCAAACAUCAAAUAAAAUAUGUGUGUGUAUAUAUAUAUAUAUAACCAGCACAUGGUAGUUCCUCAACAAAUGGUAGCUCUAGAUUUAAGUGAGGUGAGGUUCCAGGUGCCUAUGACAACAUCCCAGUGGUGGGAGGAACAUCAGGACUCUGCAGCUGGGGUGGCCUCUUCCUUGUCUUAUGUGAUAGGUAGGAUUCAGAUUGGUUACAGGGCACAUGUUUGGAUCUCUGCAGUAUGUCAGAUCCAUUCUUUUUGGAUGGAGCCAAUGUCAGAAGGAAGCAUCACUUUUUAAUGGUGCGUGGGCAUUGCCACCACAUGGUUCAAUUCAAGGUCAUUAGCACUGGUGUGAUGCAGUGGGAACCAAAAGACUUACUACUCACGCUGCAAAGGAAGAGGCAAAAGACAGGAUGUCUGGCUCUCUAGACCCCUCAACAGGAAGGGUGUCUCCCUAAACUUAGUAAGAGCACCAUCAAAGAAAGAAAAAAGAGGAGUAAAAUAAAAUUUUAUCUCACAGAUUUGGUCUCAAGCACAAGUAUUAUUCACAGGAAUAAUAAGGAUAGGAACCUAGAUUUUCAUAGCUAACAUUUUAUGCCUUUUAAAGCAUUUACACUUCUUUGAUUGCCUUGUUUCCUCACACAUCUCUGCAGAGGGGAAGGCAGCCCAGAAUCAUCCAUUUUUCAGAUGUGGACACUGUGGCAGUUGCUGUAGGGGAAAAAGCACCACACUGAGAUUUAGAAGUCCCUACUUAAACUGGACAUGGUGGAAAUCAAAAGUUCAAGGUCAGCCUGGGCAUAGACCAGGUCUCAAAAGACUGGGGAUGUAGCUCUGUGACAGAGCACUUGCCUAGGUGUGUGUGAGGUGUUAUUUUUGUUCAAUCCCCAGUACUGGAAUAAAAAAAAUAUCCCUACCAAGAGAUGGGCACUUUCUGAUGUGGUGCAAUUUUAUCUGGGAAAACACAAUCCUCCAGGAUGGCUAUUCUCUUAUCUUUCAAUACUAAAGUCAGUAAAUCUUCUAAGGUUGUCUUGGCUGAAGAUCCUGGGGUCUUUAUUUAUAGUUGUGAUGAGCUACUUCUUAACAGCCUCCAGUGAUCCCUGCCUCUAGGCAGUCAUGUCCCUCUGUAGUCUCCUCCCCUGGGCUGAGCCUGGUGACUUGCUUUUAACUAAUAGAACAUGGUAAAUAUAAUGGGAGCCACUCUGAGAUUAGGUUGUAAUUGCACUGACUUCCCUCUUACUGUGCACUUUCUCUCUGGCUCUUCUAAUUGUUCUUGCUAAGAUUAACAUUCUACAGAGGCCCACACAGUGAAGACCUGAGGGGUUUACAACUUGCACCCACUGAGAAACCGAGGAUUCCAUCCUAGCAAUCCCAAAGGAAUUAAAUCUUGCCAGUGACCCUAGGAGUGAGUGUGAAAGCAGCUUCUUCUCCAGUCAAGCCUUAAGAUGUCUGUGACUCUAACCAAUACCUGGAAUGCAACUUUGUUAAAGAAACCCUGACCUAGACCCAAGCCUCCAGCUAAACCAUCUGGGAUUGGUGGUCUAUGAAGAAACUGAGAUAAUAAAUAGGUAACUAAGUGUCUAGAUAAUUUGCUACAAAGCAAUGGAUAGCUAAGGUCAAAUAGUAAGUGGCAGAGAUAGAACUGAAGAUAGAAUUUGUUUUAUUUAAAAUUUUUUAUUUAAGCAUUUUCUAAAAUAUUGGUAAAACAGAAGCCAAAUGAAAUGCUGUGUGAGAAGGGUUCUACAGUCAAACUGUACUUCAGAAAUCCUCCAGUGCCUCUGUGUUUUUAGGGACACAUACUGUACCUUAAAGAUUCAUAUGUGUAUUAAGAAUUGUAAAGCAAAAAAAAAAGUCCAUGUAUAAUGGCAUAAAUUGAUGUGAACAUACUUUCUAUACAG